This 634-nucleotide ribosomal RNA is filed under the name uncultured fungus. RNAcentral's name for it is "eukaryotic LSU rRNA". The stretch from base 166 to 317 matches the Rfam family "5.8S ribosomal RNA". The record is from RNAcentral. Lineage: Eukaryota; Fungi.
AUCCAUACCCACCCCUUCGUGCAAUGUUACUGUUAUUCCCUAUCAGCUGUUCCAGAGCUUGCUGGUCUUUCCAGUUGGAUCUCUGUCUUCCCUGUUAGGGACUUAUAUUUACACCUAAUUGUGAUUGUCUAAAAAUGUGCUGAAAAGCAAAAAUUUAAACAAAACAACUUUCAACAACGGAUCUCGUGGCUCCCACAACGAUGAAGAGCGCAGUGAAAUGCGAUACGUAGUGUGAAUUGCAGAAUACCGUGAAUCAUCGAAUCCUCGAACGCAUAUUGCGCUCUCGGGAUACCGAGAGCAUGCCUGUUUGAGCAUCAUCCAUCAUCCCUCACCAAUGGUUGGUAGUCUUGACUAUCAGUCAAAGGUAGAAUUGGACUUUCCACGGUUCUUGAAACCGCGAAGUCUUAAAUAAAGAAUCCCAGGACUCAAAACCUUUAUGAAAGAUUGGUCAUUUGCAAUUUGCGAUUGCUGACAUUUGUUGAGACAUUAGAGUCUUGCGGGCCUCUGGUGUAGGAUAAAACCUACAGCUAGAAAAACCAAGGGCUUUCGAGUUCUUGUGUGUUUGAUCUCAAAUCAGGCAAGGUUACCCGCUGAACUUAAGCAUAUCAUUAAGCGGAGGAAAAGAAACUAACAA